This 498-nucleotide ribosomal RNA is filed under the name uncultured bacterium. RNAcentral's name for it is "partial 16S ribosomal RNA". It matches the Rfam family "Bacterial small subunit ribosomal RNA", at positions 30 to 523 of the family's 1533-position model. The record is from RNAcentral.
AUUGAACGCUGGCGGCAUGCCUUACACAUGCAAGUCGAACGGUAACAGGUCUUCGGAUGCUGACGAGUGGCGAACGGGUGAGUAAUACAUCGGAACGUGCCUAGUAGUGGGGGAUAACUACUCGAAAGAGUGGCUAAUACCGCAUGAGAUCUACGGAUGAAAGCAGGGGAUCGUAAGACCUUGUGCUACUAGAGCGGCCGAUGGCAGAUUAGGUAGUUGGUGGGAUAAAAGCUUACCAAGCCGACGAUCUGUAGCUGGUCUGAGAGGACGAUCGGCCACACUGGGACGGAGACACGGCCCAGACUCCUACGGGAGGCAGCAGUGGGGAAUUUUGGACAAUGGGCGCAAGCCUGAUCCAGCAAUGCCGCGUGCAGGAUGAAGGCCUUCGGGUUGUAAACUGCUUUUGUACGGAACGAAAAGCCCCGGGUUAAUACCCUGGGGUCAUGACGGUACCGUAAGAAUAAGCACCGGCUAACUACGUGCCAGCCGCCGCCGUAA